RNAcentral lists this long non-coding RNA (711 nucleotides) under Pan troglodytes (chimpanzee). RNAcentral describes it as "long non-coding RNA NONPTRT004989". Lineage: Eukaryota; Metazoa; Chordata; Mammalia; Primates; Hominidae. The record is from RNAcentral.
GCACAGGACAAUGCCAUCAGUGGGUCUACAUCACACAGAAAAUGAUCAAUGAUGUUGGGACCACAGAAAGGUAGUUGAGAAAUGAAGAAAAUGGAAAUUGAAUGUCCAAGGAAACCAAUGAGCCAACAAAGAGACACCAAGAUGCCACAGAGCUGGCCAGUCAUAAUGGAGGGAUAGUGCAGUGGGUGGCAGAUGGCCAGGUACCGAUCAUAAGCCAUGACACAGAGGAAGAAGCAUUCAGUUGUGCCCAGGGGAAAGAAGAAGUAGAACUGAGUGAAACAUCCAGAGAAUGAUAUGGUCUUAGUUUUGGAGAAAAAAUUUACCAGCAUGUUGGGGACUGUGCAGGUCACAUACCAGAUCUCUAGGAAGGAGAAGUUGGCUAGGAGCACGUACAUAGGGGUAUGGAGUCGAUGGUCCCACCUCACUGCACAGAUGAUGGCCAUAUUCCCAGUCAGAGUGAAGAUGUAGACCAACAAAAUCAUUGAGAAAAAGAUGAUCUGAAUUUUCCAGGGACCAGGAAACCCCAACAACACAAACUGCGUCACAGUAGAUAUCUGUGAGUUAUUCAUGCUUCCCAGACUGUGGAGAGAACACCGAUGGUCAAUGACAAUUUACUUUGCUGAUGAAGCAUCUUGAAGCUUUUUUUGGGAUAAGGAGUUUGACUCUUGCAGAGAGCGAGAGGCCUGCCUUUCAGUACUUGAUCAAACCUGG